RNAcentral lists this ribosomal RNA (253 nucleotides) under uncultured bacterium. Its description in RNAcentral is "partial 16S ribosomal RNA". It matches the Rfam family "Bacterial small subunit ribosomal RNA", at positions 524 to 776 of the family's 1533-position model. The record is from RNAcentral.
UACAGAGGUCCCAAGCGUUGUUCGGAUUCACUGGGCGUAAAGGGUGCGUAGGCGGUCGGGUAAGUCUGAUGUGAAAUCUCACAGCUUAACUGUGAAACUGCAUUGGAUACUAUUCGGCUUGAGAGUUGGAGGGGGACUGGAAUUCUUGGUGUAGCAGUGAAAUGCGUAGAUAUCAAGAGGAACACCAGUGGCGAAGGCGAGUCCCUGGACAACUUCUGACGCUGGAGGAGCGAAAGCGUGGGGAGCGAACAGG